GACAUUUAGCAAACCUGUUUCCUCAACAGAAAAAAAAAAAAAAAAAAAAAAAAAAAAAAAGGU
Molecule: non-coding RNA, 63 nt
Filed under: Aurantiochytrium limacinum
Lineage: Eukaryota; Bigyra; Thraustochytrida; Thraustochytriidae
Source: RNAcentral